RNAcentral lists this ribosomal RNA (468 nucleotides) under uncultured bacterium. RNAcentral describes it as "partial 16S ribosomal RNA". It matches the Rfam family "Bacterial small subunit ribosomal RNA", at positions 28 to 507 of the family's 1533-position model. The record is from RNAcentral.
GACGAACGCUGGCGGCGUGCUUAACACAUGCAAGUCGAACGGAAAGGCCCUGCUUUUGUGGGGUGCUCGAGUGGCGAACGGGUGAGUAACACGUGAGUAACCUGCCCUUGACUUUGGGAUAACUUCAGGAAACUGGGGCUAAUACCGGAUAGGAGCUCCUGCUGCAUGGUGGGGGUUGGAAAGUUUCGGCGGUUGGGGAUGGACUCGCGGCUUAUCAGCUUGUUGGUGGGGUAGUGGAUUACCAAGGCUUUGACGGGUAGCCGGCCUGAGGGGGUGACCGGCCACAUUGGGACUGGGAUACGGCCCAGACUCCUACGGGAGGCAGCAGUGGGGAAUAUUGCACAAUGGGCGGAAGCCAGAUGCAGCAACGCCGCGUGCGGGAUGACGGCCUUCGGGUUGUAAACCGCUUUCGCCUGUGACGAAGCGUGAGUGACGGUAAUGGGUAAAGAAGCACCGGCUAACUACGUG